AUGCACGCUGGCGGCGUGCCUAAUACAUGCAAGUCGAGCGCACAGACGAGGAGCUUGCUCCUCUGACGUUAGCGGCGGACGGGUGAGUAACACGUGGAUAACCUACCUAUAAGACUGGGAUAACUUCGGGAAACCGGAGCUAAUACCGGAUAAUAUAUUGAACCGCAUGGUUCAAUAGUGAAAGACGGUUUUGCUGCCACUUAUAGAUGGAUCCGCGCCGCAUUAGCUAGUUGGUAAGGUAACGGCUUACCAAGGCGACGAUGCGUAGCCGACCUGAGAGGGUGAUCGGCCACACUGGAACUGAGACACGGUCCAGACUCCUACGGGAGGCAGCAGUAGGGAAUCUUCCGCAAUGGGCGAAAGCCUGACGGAGCAACGCCGCGUGAGUGAUGAAGGUCUUCGGAUCGUAAAACUCUGUUAUUAGGGAAGAACAAAUGUGUAAGUAACUAUGCACGUCUUGACGGUACCUAAUCAGAAAGCCACGGCUAACUACGUG
This 496-nucleotide ribosomal RNA is filed under the name uncultured bacterium. RNAcentral describes it as "partial 16S ribosomal RNA". It matches the Rfam family "Bacterial small subunit ribosomal RNA", at positions 29 to 507 of the family's 1533-position model. The record is from RNAcentral.